AACGAACGCUGGCGGCAGGCUUAACACAUGCAAGUCGAGCGCAUCCUUCGGGGUGAGCGGCGGACGGGUGAGUAACGCGUGGGAACGUGCCCUCUUCUACGGAAUAGCCUCGGGAAACUGAGAGUAAUGCCGUAUACGCCCGCAAGGGGAAAGAUUUAUCGGAGGAGGAUCGGCCCGGGUUGGAUUAGGUAGUUGGUGGGGUAACGGCCUACCAAGCCGACGAUCCAUAGCUGGUUUGAGAGGAUGAUCAGCCACACUGGGACUGAGACACGGCCCAGACUCCUACGGGAAGCAGGAGUGGGGAAUCUUGGACAAUGGGGGCAACCCUGAUCCAGCCAUGCCGCGUGAUCGAUGAAGGCCUUAGGGUUGUAAAGAUCUUUCAGCUGGGAAGAUAAUGACGGUACCAGCAGAAGAAGCCCCGGCUAACUCCGUG
RNAcentral lists this ribosomal RNA (433 nucleotides) under uncultured bacterium. RNAcentral describes it as "partial 16S ribosomal RNA". It matches the Rfam family "Bacterial small subunit ribosomal RNA", at positions 29 to 507 of the family's 1533-position model. The record is from RNAcentral.